GAUGAACGCUGGCGGCGUGCCUAAUACAUGCAAGUCGAGCGAACAGACGAGGAGCUUGCUCCUCUGAUGUUAGCGGCGGACGGGUGAGUAACACGUGGAUAACCUACCUAUAAGACUGGGAUAACUUCGGGAAACCGGAGCUAAUACCGGAUAACAUGUUGAACCGCAUGGUUCAACAGUGAAAGACGGUCUUGCUGUCACUUAUAGAUGGAUCCGCGCCGCAUUAGCUAGUUGGUAAGGUAACGGCUUACCAAGGCAACGAUGCGUAGCCGACCUGAGAGGGGGGUAGGCCACACUGGGGGUGAGACACGGUCCAGGCUCCUGCGUGACGCAGCAGUGGGGCAUCUUCCGCAAUGGUCGAAAGCCUGACAGUGCAACGCCGCGUGAAAGAAGAAAGUCUUCGGAUCGUAAAACUCUCUUAUCAGUGAAGAACAACUAUGUAAGUACCUAUGCACGGCUUGACGGGACCGAAUCAGAUAGCCCCGGCUAACUACGAG
Molecule: ribosomal RNA, 497 nt
Filed under: uncultured bacterium
Lineage: Bacteria
Description: partial 16S ribosomal RNA
Rfam family: Bacterial small subunit ribosomal RNA
Source: RNAcentral